This 894-nucleotide ribosomal RNA is filed under the name uncultured bacterium. RNAcentral describes it as "bacterial SSU rRNA". It matches the Rfam family "Bacterial small subunit ribosomal RNA", at positions 16 to 902 of the family's 1533-position model. The record is from RNAcentral.
AUCCUGGCUCAGGAUGAACGCUAGCUACAGGCUUAACACAUGCAAGUCGAGGGGCAGCAUGAACUUAGCUUGCUAAGUUUGAUGGCGACCGGCGCACGGGUGAGUAACACGUAUCCAACCUUCCGUUUACUCAGGGAUAGCCUUUCGAAAGAAAGAUUAAUACCUGAUAGUAUGGUGAGAUUGCAUGAUAGCACCAUUAAAGAUUUAUUGGUAAACGAUGGGGAUGCGUUCCAUUAGGUAGUAGGCGGGGUAACGGCCCACCUAGCCAACGAUGGAUAGGGGUUCUGAGAGGAAGGUCCCCCACAUUGGAACUGAGACACGGUCCAAACUCCUACGGGAGGCAGCAGUGAGGAAUAUUGGUCAAUGGACGAGAGUCUGAACCAGCCAAGUAGCGUGAAGGAUGAAGGUCCUACGGAUUGUAAACUCCUUUUAUAAGGGAAUAAACCCUCCCACGUGUGGGAGCUUGUAUGUACCUUAUGAAUAAGCAUCGGCUAACUCCGUGCCAGCAGCCGCGGUAAUACGGAGGAUGCGAGCGUUAUCCGGAUUUAUUGGGUUUAAAGGGAGCGCAGACGGGUCGUUAAGUCAGCUGUGAAAGUUUGGGGCUCAACCUUAAAAUUGCAGUUGAUACUGGCGUCCUUGAGUGCGGUUGAGGUGUGCGGAAUUCGUGGUGUAGCGGUGAAAUGCUUAGAUAUCACGAAGAACUCCGAUUGCGAAGGCAGCACACUAAUCCGUAACUGACGUUCAUGCUCGAAAGUGUGGGUAUCAAACAGGAUUAGAUACCCUGGUAGUCCACACGGUAAACGAUGGAUACUCGCUGUUGGCGAUAUACUGUCAGCGGCUUAGCGAAAGCGUUAAGUAUUCCACCUGGGGAGUACGCCGGCAACGGUGAAACUC